UCUUCAUUUCACACACUCUCUCGCCUCUCUGACCGGUGAGAGAGCAUGUGAAAUGAAGAGG
This 61-nucleotide microRNA precursor is filed under the name Pristionchus pacificus. RNAcentral's name for it is "mir-8364 microRNA precursor family". It matches the Rfam family "mir-8364 microRNA precursor family". The record is from Rfam by way of RNAcentral. Lineage: Eukaryota; Metazoa; Nematoda; Chromadorea; Rhabditida; Neodiplogasteridae.